Transfer RNA from Sugiyamaella lignohabitans, 74 nucleotides. It matches the Rfam family "tRNA". From Rfam's summary of the family: Transfer RNA (tRNA) molecules are approximately 80 nucleotides in length. The record is from Rfam. NCBI's taxonomy places the organism in Eukaryota, Fungi, Ascomycota, Dipodascomycetes, Dipodascales, Trichomonascaceae.
UUGAUUGUGACGAAAUGGUUAACGUAUUAAGUUUAGGUCUUAAUUAAUUAUGAGUUCGAUUCUCAUCAAUCAUA